GCUGGCUGAUUGUCAGAGUGUCAGACUCAGCAGUUCCUGAUGCUCCUGUGAUGUCUGUGUCCAGACUGAUAUGUCACAUAGUCGUAGGGACUCCUUUCCUGGUGUCCACCAUCAUACUGGGACUCAUAUGCAUAGACAGAAGAGCUCCUCGGCUUGUUGCAAAGGACAGAAGACAUGAUGUCAUCAUGGAGGUGGAAUAGAUGAUGAUGUCUGUGUCACAUUUUUAUUUGUGUAUUAGUUUGUCUGUUUUUUUUAAUUGUAUGCUCAUGAAAAAAAAAUUCCUGUGUCUGAUAUUUAUUUUGUCAAAAAGUGAUGUGAGAUUACGAAGAAUAAAAUUACAAAUUAAUGUAACAAAAACACUGGUAUAGUUAGGAAACCUGCUCAGAAACAUACUGGGGUGUCAAUGAGCCAAUAAAGGGAACUAAACAAAAAGAAAAAGAAAGUCAAAAUAAGUACAGAAUUUUUCACAGGAAGCUCAGUGCAGAGCUGUACUGGCACCUGAGAGAAGACGUCUUGAUCUGCUUCUUCCUGUUGUGGUUGAGGUUACGCAAAGAAAAGCAGCAGCCAUUUUUUAUGAGGUUACGUAUGUAGUGGUUUUAUUUACAAACAGGUACAGGGAGAGAUUAUGAGCCACGGCCUCCAUCCAGUGGUGCAGCUUAAUUACGGUCGUGUCGUCAAGUUCACAGAAAAGAUUCUAAAAGACGAUGAUUCAAGAACGCUCUGCCAGAUGUCAUCUGUCACAUCCCUAUCGUCACAUAGGGCUCUGGGACAAUAGAACUUUUGGGAACAAAUGACUCUGGGAACAUAGGACUUUGAGAGGACUUGCAGCUU
This is a long non-coding RNA of Morone saxatilis (striped sea-bass), 831 nucleotides long. RefSeq lists it as uncharacterized. NCBI's taxonomy places the organism in Eukaryota, Metazoa, Chordata, Actinopteri, Moronidae. The transcript has 3 exons. The record is from RefSeq and is a predicted model, not a curated record.